CUUGCUCCCGGAUGUUAGCGGCGGACGGGUGAGUAACACGUGGGUAACCUGCCUGUAAGACUGGGAUAACUCCGGGAAACCGGAGCUAAUACCGGAUAGUUCCUUGAACCGCAUGGUUCAAGGAUGAAAGACGGUUUCGGCUGUCACUUACAGAUGGACCCGCGGCGCAUUAGCUAGUUGGUGAGGUAACGGCUCACCAAGGCGACGAUGCGUAGCCGACCUGAGAGGGUGAUCGGCCACACUGGGACUGAGACACGGCCCAGACUCCUACGGGAGGCAGCAGUAGGGAAUCUUCCGCAAUGGACGAAAGUCUGACGGAGCAACGCCGCGUGAGUGAUGAAGGUUUUCGGAUCGUAAAGCUCUGUUGUUAGGGAAGAACAAGUGCAAGAGUAACUGCUUGCACCAUGACGGUACCUAACCAGAAAGCCACGGCUAACUACGUGCCAGCAGCCGCGGUAAUACGUAGGUGGCAAGCGUUGUCCGGAAUUAUUGGGCGUAAAGGGCUCGCAGGCGGUUUCUUAAGUCUGAUGUGAAAGCCCCCGGCUCAACCGGGGAGGGUCAUUGGAAACUGGGAAACUUGAGUGCAGAAGAGGAGAGUGGAAUUCCACGUGUAGCGGUGA
Molecule: ribosomal RNA, 620 nt
Filed under: Bacillus xiamenensis
Lineage: Bacteria; Bacillati; Bacillota; Bacilli; Caryophanales; Bacillaceae
Description: bacterial SSU rRNA
Rfam family: Bacterial small subunit ribosomal RNA
Source: RNAcentral